AUCCAGGCCUCAGGUGACUCUCCCAUCUCGUGAAAACAAGCAGGAAGCCCACGUUAUUAUUUUCUUCUUUACUCAAAACAUCGAGAAAAAAGAAAUCCUUCUUUUCCCUUUUUAGUCUUGAACCACAUUCACAUCCCUGCCUCCCUUGGAGACUUUUCUUCAGCUGCAAUUUACAAAUGUGAAAAGCUCCCCUCCAACCCCGAUCCGAGACAGACUUUAUUUAGGAAUAAGAAGGAAGGAGGGCCCUGCUGUGUCCUCCUUUUGUCUCGGUCUUCUUUCCUCUCACUCGGGUGACACAGAAAGAGAAGGAAAAUUACGCAUCAUCGAGGAAGGCCCUGAAUGUAAGACAAAACAAACAUACUACAACCAAAACUGGGGUCCCUAAAGCUCCCUCCUCCCUGGCAGAACAUCACAGAGGUCUCAGAGGCUGCUUUGAGGCUUUUGCAGAGGCUGGAAGACAACCCUUUGGAGUUCAGCACACAGGGCCUCUCCCAUCAUUCAUGCUCAUUCUUGGAACAGAGGAGGACUGCAGAUGGCAUUUCGUGGUUUUAAGGAUACUUUGGGGAACCAUUUGGAAAAUAAAUUAAGCAUCGCAAUGGGAAAAAUCACUCCAGAAUCAAUUCGGAUUUGGACCUUCCUAGAAUGGACUUCUGAAAGGAGGACCUGAAGAUUCUUUCUAAGAGGACAAAGCUGCUGUUUGUGAAGAGAGAAAACUUUAGGAAACUUCCAGGGGAGCCAGGUAGGAAGCAAGUCAUGGCUUCUGGGCCCGGGGAGGAGAAAGCAGACUGAGUCAUUGUCCUCCAGGAAGAUGUAAACCUGCACACACUGAUCCCUGCAUGUAGGGAUGGAGAGCAAUGUUAACGGCCAACUUAGCGACUGUUAGCACACCUUCUGUGAAUUAACCCAUUUAAUACCCACAGCAACCUAUAAGACAGGCCUGGGGUCAUGGUACAAAGGGAGACCCUUACCCCUUUUUCAUCCUUACUCUGUCUCUAUCACGAGGGGGCAGACACUCAAUGCAUGGACUGUCUAGUCACAAGUUGAAGCUCAGUCCAGAAACCUGUCACAAUCAGGAGCCCCUUGGACAC
This 1088-nucleotide long non-coding RNA is filed under the name Macaca mulatta (Rhesus monkey). RNAcentral describes it as "lncRNA (ENSMMUG00000062757.1)". The record is from RNAcentral. Lineage: Eukaryota; Metazoa; Chordata; Mammalia; Primates; Cercopithecidae.